RNAcentral lists this ribosomal RNA (434 nucleotides) under uncultured bacterium. RNAcentral's name for it is "partial 16S ribosomal RNA". It matches the Rfam family "Bacterial small subunit ribosomal RNA", at positions 29 to 506 of the family's 1533-position model. The record is from RNAcentral.
AACGAACGCUGGCGGCAGGCUUAACACAUGCAAGUCGAACGCGUGCAGCAAUGCACUCGUGGCGCACGGGUGAGUAACGCGUGGAUAUCUGCCUGUUGGUUCGGAAUAACCCCGGGAAACUUGGGCUAAUACCGGAUGGUUUCUACGGGAUAAAGAUUUAUCUCCAAAAGAUUAGUCCGAGUCCGAUUGUCUAGUUGGUGAGGUAAUGGAUCACCAAGGCGACUUACGCUAGCUGGUCUGAGACGACGGUCAGCCACACUGGGACUGAGACAAGGCCCAAACUCCUACGGGAGGCAGCAGUGGUGAAGAUGGGACAAUGGGGGCAACACUGAUCCAGCCAGGCCGCGGAAGUGAUGAAGGCCUUAGGAUUGUAAAGCUCUGUUGGCGGGGACGAUGAUGACGGUACCAGCAAGAUAAGCCCCGGCUAACUCCGU